UACGGAGGGAGCUAGCGUUGUUCGGAAUUACUGGGCGUAAAGCGCGCGUAGGCGGCUUUGUAAGUUAGAGGUGAAAGCCCGGGGCUCAACUCCGGAACUGCCUUUAAGACUGCAUCGCUAGAAUCCAGGAGAGGUGAGUGGAAUUCCGAGUGUAGAGGUGAAAUUCGUAGAUAUUCGGAAGAACACCAGUGGCGAAGGCGGCUCACUGGACUGGUAUUGACGCUGAGGUGCGAAAGCGUGGGGAGCAAACAGG
RNAcentral lists this ribosomal RNA (253 nucleotides) under uncultured bacterium. RNAcentral describes it as "partial 16S ribosomal RNA". It matches the Rfam family "Bacterial small subunit ribosomal RNA", at positions 524 to 776 of the family's 1533-position model. The record is from RNAcentral.